UACGGGGGGGGCAAGCGUUGUUCGGAUUUACUGGGCGUAAAGGGCGCGUAGGCGGCUUGCCAAGUCACUUGUGAAAUCUCUGGGCUUAACCCAGAACGGCCAAGUGAAACUGGCAUGCUAGAGUGCAGAAGGGGCAAUCGGAAUUCUUGGUGUAGCGGUGAAAUGCGUAGAUAUCAAGAGGAGCACCUGAGGUGAAGACGGGUUGCUGGGCUGACAUUGACGCUGAGGCGCGAAAGCCAGGGGAGCAAACGGG
This 253-nucleotide ribosomal RNA is filed under the name uncultured bacterium. RNAcentral's name for it is "partial 16S ribosomal RNA". It matches the Rfam family "Bacterial small subunit ribosomal RNA", at positions 524 to 776 of the family's 1533-position model. The record is from RNAcentral.